GCGCCCUUAGCUCAGCUGGAUAGAGCACUUGACUACGAAUUAAGUGGUCGGGGUUUCGAAUCCCUCAGGGCGCGCCA
RNAcentral lists this transfer RNA (77 nucleotides) under Deltaproteobacteria bacterium. RNAcentral describes it as "tRNA-Arg". It matches the Rfam family "tRNA". Rfam says of the family: Transfer RNA (tRNA) molecules are approximately 80 nucleotides in length. Their secondary structure includes four short double-helical elements and three loops (D, anti-codon, and T loops). Lineage: Bacteria; Pseudomonadati; Myxococcota; Myxococcia. The record is from RNAcentral.